UUCGCAAUGCCCGAAAGGGUGACGAAGCGACGCCGCGUGUGGGAAGAAGGCCUUCGGGUUGUAAACCACUGUCGGGAGUUAAGAAAUGCAAGGAUAUGGAUAGUAUCUUUGCUUGACUAAGGCUCCGGAGGAAGCCACGGCUAACUCUGUGCCAGCAGCCGCGGUAAUACAGAGGCGGCAAGCGUUGUUCGGAAUUAUUGGGCGUAAAGAGCACGUAGGCGGCUAUGUAAGUCGGUUGUGAAAGCCUUCCGCUCAACGGGAGAACAGCAUCCGAUACUGCAUGGCUUGAGUGCGGGAGGGGAGAGUGGAACUUCUGGUGGAGCGGUGAAAUGCGUAGAUAUCAGAAGGAACGCCGGCGGCGAAAGCGGCUCUCUGGCCCAUAACUGACGCUGAGUGUGCGAAAGCUAGGGGAGCAAACGGGAUUAGAUACCCCGGUAGUCCUAGCCGUAAACGAUGGGCACUAAGUAGAGGGGUUUU
Molecule: ribosomal RNA, 477 nt
Filed under: uncultured anaerobic ammonium-oxidizing bacterium
Lineage: Bacteria
Description: bacterial SSU rRNA
Rfam family: Bacterial small subunit ribosomal RNA
Source: RNAcentral